GAUGAACGCUAGCUACAGGCUUAACACAUGCAAGUCGAGGGGAAACGGCAUUGAGUGCUUGCACUCUUUGGACGUCGACCGGCGCACGGGUGAGUAACGCGUAUCCAACCUUCCCAUUACUGUGGGAUAACCUGCCGAAAGGCAGACUAAUACCGCAUAGUCUUCGAUGACGGCAUCAGAUUUGAAGUAAAGAUUUAUCGGUAAUGGAUGGGGAUGCGUCUGAUUAGCUUGUUGGCGGGGUAACGGCCCACCAAGGCUACGAUCAGUAGGGGUUCUGAGAGGAAGGUCCCCCACAUUGGAACUGAGACACGGUCCAAACUCCUACGGGAGGCAGCAGUGAGGAAUAGUGGUCAAUGGACGGAAGUCUGAACCAGCCAAGUAGCGUGCAGGAUGACGGCCCUAUGGGUGGUAAACUGCUUUUGUAUGGGGAUAAAGUUAGGGACGUGUCCCUAUUUGCAGGUACCAUACGAAUAAGGACCGGCUAAUUCCGUG
RNAcentral lists this ribosomal RNA (492 nucleotides) under uncultured bacterium. RNAcentral describes it as "partial 16S ribosomal RNA". It matches the Rfam family "Bacterial small subunit ribosomal RNA", at positions 28 to 507 of the family's 1533-position model. The record is from RNAcentral.